This 570-nucleotide long non-coding RNA is filed under the name Mus musculus (house mouse). Its description in RNAcentral is "Arla3". The record is from RNAcentral. Lineage: Eukaryota; Metazoa; Chordata; Mammalia; Rodentia; Muridae.
GCAGACAUAGAAGGGAUGGGUUCGAAGCAUACUUCUAUCCCUUUGGUUAGAGCAACCACCCCAUGGGUCUCUCGAAUGUUUUUCUACGUACGGAGGGGGUGUUAAAGGUGCCCUCUGAAUGUCAGAGUACCCCUCCAAGUCCCAUCCAGGAGGGGCUCCUAUAGCCAACUUACAGAUGUCAGGGAAAAGAUCAGGCCACCAAGUCCACAGAGGGUGUACCUCGGCGAUUGUCCAUACAGCCCUACCCCCCUCAUUGAGUACCUCCCACGUUUGUUGAACAGGACUGUGGGGGUUGAAGUCUUUUGGGAUCGCUCCUACGAAGCAGGCGCAACUUAAAAGGAUUAGUAGUCUUCUCCAAAGUCCACUCAUCAUGGCUGACUCCAGGGGGUGCUCUCUUAACGUGGGAUGCGUGGACCCAAGUGGGGAUUCCUUCCACUUUGACCGCGGUGGGCGUUGUCAGUAGCACUAAGUAGGGUCCCUUCCACCUCGGUUCUAGGUUUCCCGCUCGGUGUCUCCUCACCAGGACUGCGUCUCCUACUUCAAACUGAUGCGGCACCUGCCAAGGGGUCC